This 400-nucleotide ribosomal RNA is filed under the name phytoplankton environmental sample. RNAcentral describes it as "partial small subunit ribosomal RNA". It matches the Rfam family "Eukaryotic small subunit ribosomal RNA", at positions 587 to 987 of the family's 1831-position model. The record is from RNAcentral.
AGCUCCAAUAGCGUAUAUUAAAGUUGUUGCAGUUAAAAAGCUCGUAGUUGGAUUUGUGGAUGUUGCGUGCGCCCCGGCACUUGAUUGUGUUGUGGGAUUGCGUGUGACUCCAUCCUUGGGUGGAUUUUGCGUGGCAUUCAGUUGUCGUGCAGGGGAUGCCCAUCGUUUACUGUGAAAAAAUUAGAGUGUUCAAAGCAGGCUUACGCCGAUGAAUAUAUUAGCAUGGAAUAAUGAGAUAGGACCUUGGUACUAUUUUGUUGGUUUGCGUACCUCGGUAAUGAUUAAUAGGGGUAGUUGGGGGUAUUCGUAUUCCAUUGUCAGAGGUGAAAUUCUUGGAUUUUUGGAAGACGAACUAGUGCGAAAGCAUUUACCAAGGAUGUUUUCAUUAAUCAAGAACGAA